UACGAAGGGGGCGAGCGUUGUUCGGAUUUACUGGGCGUAAAGGGCGCGCAGGCGGCUCAUUUUGUCAGGCGUGAAAGCCCCGGGCUUAACCUGGGAACUGCGUUUGAUACGGAUGGGCUAGAGUUCGGGAGAGGAGAGUGGAAUUCCCAGUGUAGAGGUGAAAUUCGUAGAUAUUGGGAAGAACACCGGUGGCGAAGGCGGCUCUCUGGACCGGGACUGACGCUGAGGCGCGAAAGCGUGGGUAGCAAACAGG
RNAcentral lists this ribosomal RNA (253 nucleotides) under uncultured bacterium. RNAcentral describes it as "partial 16S ribosomal RNA". It matches the Rfam family "Bacterial small subunit ribosomal RNA", at positions 524 to 776 of the family's 1533-position model. The record is from RNAcentral.